RNAcentral lists this small RNA (583 nucleotides) under Pongo abelii (Sumatran orangutan). Its description in RNAcentral is "processed transcript". Lineage: Eukaryota; Metazoa; Chordata; Mammalia; Primates; Hominidae. The record is from RNAcentral.
AUUCUGCUAACUUCCUGGUGAGGCAGCUGCCUAACUAAACGGAGCAGCAGUGGUGCUGCGUCUGUUUACCAGAGGGGAGGGGGUACAACCUGAGGACAUCCCUGUAGCCACUCGGCCAGGAAGUGUGUCCACCCGCCAUAGAAUCUACAUGCACCUGCGCUGCUACAGCUGCCCCAACGAGCAGCGCUACAUCGUGCGCAUCCUCUUCAUCGUGCCCAUCUACGCCUUUGACUCCUGGCUCAGCCUCCUCUUCUUCACCAACGACCAGUACUACGUGUACUUCGGCACUGUCCGCGACUGCUAUGAGGCCUUGGUCAUCUAUAAUUUCCUGAGCCUGUGCUAUGAGUACCUAGGAGGAGAAAGUUCCAUCAUGUCGGAGAUCAGAGGAAAACCCAUUGAGUCCAGCUGUGUGUACGGCACCUGCUGCCUCUGGGGAAAGACUUAUUCCAUCGGAUUUCUGAGGUUCUGCAAACAGGCCACCCUGCAGUUCUGUGUGGUGAAGCCACUCAUGGCGGUCAGCACUGUGGUCCUCCAGGCCUUCGGCAAGUACCGGGAUGGGGACUUUGAUGUCACCAGCGGCUAC